RNAcentral lists this unclassified non-coding RNA (192 nucleotides) under Ascomycota sp. RNAcentral's name for it is "partial contains small subunit ribosomal RNA, internal transcribed spacer 1, and 5.8S ribosomal RNA". The stretch from base 1 to 47 matches the Rfam family "Eukaryotic small subunit ribosomal RNA", at positions 1785 to 1831 of the family's 1831-position model. The record is from RNAcentral. Lineage: Eukaryota; Fungi; Ascomycota.
AAAGUCGUAACAAGGUUUCCGUAGGUGAACCUGCGGAAGGAUCAUUACAAGAAUGCGGGUUCGCCCAUGUUCUCACCACCGCGUAUCAACUCUGUUGCCUCGGCCUUCGGGCCGCUGGAAAGCCAGACAACCGUUUGACACCGUCAAUAUCAUCCAAAACCAAAACUUUUAACAAUGGAUCUCUUGGCUCCG